This 253-nucleotide ribosomal RNA is filed under the name uncultured bacterium. Its description in RNAcentral is "partial 16S ribosomal RNA". It matches the Rfam family "Bacterial small subunit ribosomal RNA", at positions 524 to 776 of the family's 1533-position model. The record is from RNAcentral.
UACGUAGGGUGCAAGCGUUGUCCGGAAUUAUUGGGCGUAAAGAGCUCGUAGGCGGUUUGUCGCGUCUGCUGUGAAAUCCCGAGGCUCAACUUCGGGUCUGCAGUGGGUACGGGCAGGCUAGAGUGCGGUAGGGGAGAAUGGAAUUCCUGGUGUAGCGGUGGAAUGCGCAGAUAUCAGGAGGAACACCGAUGGCGAAGGCAGUGCUCUGGGCCGUAACUGACGCUGAGGAGCGAAAGCGUGGGGAGCGAACAGG